RNAcentral lists this ribosomal RNA (446 nucleotides) under uncultured bacterium. RNAcentral's name for it is "partial 16S ribosomal RNA". It matches the Rfam family "Bacterial small subunit ribosomal RNA", at positions 329 to 792 of the family's 1533-position model. The record is from RNAcentral.
GACCAGACUCCUACGGGAGGCAGCAGUGGGGGAUAUUGCACAAUGGGGGGAACCCUGAUGCAGCGACGCCGCGUGGGUGAAGGAGCGUUUCGGCGCGUAAAGCCCUGUCAGCAGGGAAGAAAAUGACGGUACCUGAAGAAGAAGCCCCGGCUAACUACGUGCCAGCAGCCGCGGUAAUACGUAGGGGGCAAGCGUUAUCCGGAUUUACUGGGUGUAAAGGGAGCGUAGACGGUAGAGCAAGUCUGAAGUGAAAGCCCGCGGCUCAACUGCGGGACUGCUUUGGAGACUGUUCAACUGGAGUGCUGGAGAGGUAAGCGGAAUUCCUAGUGUAGCGGUGAAAUGCGUAGAUAUUAGGAGGAACACCAGUGGCGAAGGCGGCUUACUGGACAGUAACUGACGUUGAGGCUCGAAAGCGUGGGGAGCAAACAGGAUUAGAUACCCUCGUA